AACGAACGCUGGCGGCAUGCCUAACACAUGCAAGUCGAACGAGACCUUCGGGUCUAGUGGCGCACGGGUGCGUAACGCGUGGGAACCUGCCCUUAGGUUCGGAAUAACUCCCCGAAAGGGGUGCUAAUACCGGAUAAUGUCUUCGGACCAAAGAUUUAUCGCCUUUGGAUGGGCCCGCGUUGGAUUAGCUAGUUGGUAGGGUAAAAGCCUACCAAGGCGACGAUCCAUAGCUGGUCUGAGAGGAUGAUCAGCCACACUGGGACUGAGACAUGGCCCAGACUCCUACGCGAGGCAGCAGUGGGGAAUAUUGGACAAUGGGCGAAGGCCUGAUCCAGCAAUGCCGCGUGAGUGAUGAAGGCCUUAGGGUUGUAAAGCUCUUUUACCCGGGAUGAUAAUGACAGUACCGGGAGAAUAAGCUCCGGCUAACUCCGUG
RNAcentral lists this ribosomal RNA (433 nucleotides) under uncultured bacterium. Its description in RNAcentral is "partial 16S ribosomal RNA". It matches the Rfam family "Bacterial small subunit ribosomal RNA", at positions 29 to 507 of the family's 1533-position model. The record is from RNAcentral.